CUAAAUAACUUUGCUAACCGCACAGUCUCUGAACUGGCGGUGUAUCUUUCAAAUGUCUGCCUUAUCAACUGUUGAUGGUAGAUUAUGCGCCUACCAUGGUUGUAACGGGUAACGGAGAAUCAGGGUUUGAUUCCGGAGAGGGAGCCUGAGAAACAGCUACCACAUCCAAGGAAGGCAGCAGGCACGCAAAUUACCCACUCCCAGUUCGGGGAGGUAGUGACGAAAAAUAACGAAAUGAUGCUCUAUGAGUGUCAUUAUCGGAAUGAGUACAAUCUAAAUACUUUAACGAGUAUCAAUUGGAGGGCAAGUCUGGUGCCAGCAGCCGCGGUAAUUCCAGCUCCAAUAGCGUAUAUUAAAGUUGCUGCGUCUGAAACG
RNAcentral lists this ribosomal RNA (375 nucleotides) under Nematoda sp. RNAcentral's name for it is "SSU rRNA". It matches the Rfam family "Eukaryotic small subunit ribosomal RNA", at positions 252 to 626 of the family's 1831-position model. Lineage: Eukaryota; Metazoa; Nematoda. The record is from RNAcentral.